GAUGAACGCUAGCGGCAGGCCUAACACAUGCAAGUCGAGGGAGGAGCUUUCGGGCCUCGACCGGCGUACGGGUGCGUAACGCGUAUACAAUCUGCCUUUCACAUAGGGAUAGCCCGAAGAAAUUUGGAUUAAUACCUAAUGGUAUAUAGGAGUGGCAUCACAUUUAUAUUAAAGCUGAGGCGGUGAAAGAUGAGUAUGCGUUCUAUUAGCUAGUUGGAGAGGUAACGGCUCCCCAAGGCGACGAUAGAUAGGGGUUCUGAGAGGGAUAUCCCCCACACUGGUACUGAGAUACGGACCAGACUCCUACGGGAGGCAGCAGUGAGGAAUAGUGGACAAUGGUCGGAAGACUGAUCCAGCCAUGCCGCGUGCAGGAAGACGGCCUUAUGGGUUGUAAACUGCUUUUGCAGGGGAAGAAUAAGGACUACGAGUAGUUUGAUGACGGUACUCUGCGAAUAAGCAUCGGCUAACUCCGUG
RNAcentral lists this ribosomal RNA (474 nucleotides) under uncultured bacterium. Its description in RNAcentral is "partial 16S ribosomal RNA". It matches the Rfam family "Bacterial small subunit ribosomal RNA", at positions 28 to 507 of the family's 1533-position model. The record is from RNAcentral.